CCUACGGGAGGCAGCAGUGAGGAAUAUUGGUCAAUGGACGAGAGUCGGAACCAGCCAAGUAGCGUGAAGGAUGAGGGCCCUAUGGGUUGUAAACUUCUUUUAUAAAGGAAUAAAACGAGGCACGUGUGCCUUUUUGCAUGUACCCUAUGAAUAAGGAUCGGCUAACUCCGUGCCAGCAGCCGCGGUAAUACGGAGGGUCCGUGCGUUAUCCGGAGUUAUUGGGUUUAAAGGGUGCGUUGAUGGGAUGUUAAGUCAGUUGUGAAAGUUUGCGGCUCAACCGUAAAAUUGCCGUUGAUACUGGCAGUCUUGAGUGCAGUUGAGGUAGGCGGAAUGCGUGGUGUAGCGGUGACAUGCUUAGAUAUCACGCAGAACCCCGAUUGCGAAGGCAGCUUACUAGACUGUGACUGACACUGAUGCUCGAAAGUGUGGGUAUCAAACAGGAUUAGAUACCCCUGUAGUC
This 460-nucleotide ribosomal RNA is filed under the name uncultured bacterium. RNAcentral describes it as "partial 16S ribosomal RNA". It matches the Rfam family "Bacterial small subunit ribosomal RNA", at positions 338 to 795 of the family's 1533-position model. The record is from RNAcentral.